Molecule: ribosomal RNA, 459 nt
Filed under: uncultured bacterium
Lineage: Bacteria
Description: bacterial SSU rRNA
Rfam family: Bacterial small subunit ribosomal RNA
Source: RNAcentral
GACGAACGCUGGCGGCGUGCCUAACACAUGCAAGUCGAGCGAUGAAGCCUUCGGGGCUGAUUAGCGGCGGACGGGUGAGUAACACGUGGGUAACCUGCCUCAAAGAGGGGGAUAGCCUCCCGAAAGGGAGAUUAAUACCGCAUAAAGCAGUGCUUUCGCAUGAGAGUGUUGCUAAAGGAGUAAUCCGCUUUGAGAUGGGCCCGCGGCGCAUUAGCUAGUUGGUGAGGUAACGGCUCACCAAGGCGACGAUGCGUAGCCGACCUGAGAGGGUGAUCGGCCACAUUGGAACUGAGACACGGUCCAGACUCCUACGGGAGGCAGCAGUGGGGAAUAUUGCACAAUGGGCGAAAGCCUGAUGCAGCAACGCCGCGUGAGUGAAGAAGGCCUUCGGGUUGUAAAGCUCUGUCUUUUGGGACGAUAAUGACGGUACCAAAGGAGGAAGCCACGGCUAACUACGUG